UGGAAAGGGAGCAAGUUUGGGAGGCGCGCGGGACAGUUGUUGUGAGGGGUGGGGGGAAGGGCGGGGCCGGCGCCUGAGGCGGAGAAGAAAUUUGUGUUUUUUAAAAAAAUUCUCGCAUGUACGUGUAUUUCUUUUUUUUUCUUUUUUUCUCAAAAUUUUUUUAUUGGUUUUCACAACAUUAUAAACAGACAAACAAACAUAAAUCAUAGCCUUAUUGACAAUUACACUUAUUAACCAUGUUAAGUGACUUCCUCGCUUCCCCUUGCUUGAAUUUCAUUGCUUAACGGUUUUCCAAAUCACAGUUCUUAUAAAACUUAACUUAAACAUUAACAUCCUUACAUCUUCGCAUUAUGAAAAUAAACGUAUUAAUUCAUCACUUAACAUAAAUAAAAUCCUAAGGCAAUUAAGUAGCUGCAAGCUGUUUUCAGUUAAUUUAACUUAACAUAGGUUAAGUUAAGAAAUUCGUGUGUUUUAAAAAUAAUUUCUCUCAUGUCUUUCUUUACUCCAAGGAGCUCAAGGUGGCACGUGUUGCAUCUCAACAACAACAACCACCUUGUGAGGUAGGCCAGCCUGAGGAGCAGAGUUGAGAUUCAAGCCACGUCUACUUUGGAGCAAGGCGCCGACUCCUUCAGGUAAUGGUGUAAAGCAGGAAUCAGGAGUUUAAAGUGGGAGAAGGGCAAAAGAGUUUGACCUUGCAAAUAUCCUUUGGGAAACAUCUCAGUGCCUAGAGUGUGAGGCUCUUUCAAUCUCUUUUUUUCCCAAAUACUUUUUAUUGCUUUUUUGUAACAACGACAAAUACUCUUACAUUCAAAAAUUUGUAUGUCUUCUUAUUUACCCUGCGCCUUAUUGCACCCGGACUUCCUUCCAUCCCUUCAACGGUUUUCAUAUCUCAAAUCUUUUCUUACAGUUUCUUAUUUACACUCUAUCCACAUCACAAGAUUUACAUUAAUCCUGCUGCAGUUUUUAAAUUCUUACAAUUACUCCGUAUAUAUUCAACAAAUUUACCCCAAUCCUUUUCAAACUUUGCUUCUUUUUGGUUCCGAAUCUUAUAGGUCAAUUUUGCCAAUUCUAUGUAUUCAAACAUUUUUGUCUGCCACUCCAUUGAAGUUGGGAUUUCUUGGGAUUUCCUCUUUCAAUCUCAAGGUCGUGGGUUCGAGCCGGGCAAAAAGAUUCUGGGGUUGGACUAGAUGAUCCUCAGGGUCCCUUCCAACUGUACAACCCAGGCUUCUCCCAUGUCUACGGCCACCUGCGAGUCAUGUGAUGUCACAGUUACAUCACGUGACUUGCAGGUGGGCAAGUCAUUCCU
This is a non-coding RNA of Podarcis lilfordi (Lilford's wall lizard), 1306 nucleotides long. NCBI's taxonomy places the organism in Eukaryota, Metazoa, Chordata, Lepidosauria, Squamata, Lacertidae. The record is from the annotation of a GenBank genome assembly.